UUUCUACUUCAUUAAACUAGGUCCUAAAUAUCAUUCAUUUACAUCUUCAAAUCAGCUGGUGAAAUAUAAUGGCUAAAGACUGUGAAGCCAGAGUACCUAAGCUCUAAUUCUGGUUUUACUAAUUCCAGGUUAUUUAUCUCUAAAAUGGGAAUAAUAAUAGAAACUACCUCAUAGAGUUGUCAUGAGUUUUAAAUGGGAAAGAUGAAGAGUGUUCAUGUCUUCUCCACUCCCGUAUUCUCUUAUUUACCGCCUGGAAAAGUCCUUGCACUGCCAUGCUUUCAUGCUGUUUUCUCAGACAUUUCUCUAUCUAUACUGGGAAUACAACUGUAAGAUGAUACUUUCCACAUGAUCUACAGAUUCAACAGUUUAAAUUAGGAAAAGUCACAGACAGCUUUGGAAGAGCCAGAAUGAAGUUACCAGUUUUUCCUACCUCAUGGGAUUAUUGGAAGGAUUGAAUGGGAGAAUAUUAUAAAGCAUCUGCACAAUUCUUGGUACAUGUAAAGCUAGUCAAUAAUAUAAGUAAAACUCUAGUCUUCAAUGUUUAGGAUUUAGUGGUUAGGAUAAAAAGUGAUCUAUAUUUUUCCAAGCAAAUGUAGAGAACAGAUAAUGAAUCAAAAAAAUUCAACAGGAGGAAAAUAGGCAGAACUGCCUGCCUUGCUCAUAAUUUUUUGUAAAAUGUCAAUUAUAAUGAAACUUCUGUGAGCAAGAUAUUUUUCUAUUUCUUGAUGGAUC
Myotis davidii is the source of this 732-nucleotide long non-coding RNA. RefSeq lists it as uncharacterized. The transcript has 6 exons. The record is from RefSeq and is a predicted model, not a curated record. NCBI's taxonomy places the organism in Eukaryota, Metazoa, Chordata, Mammalia, Chiroptera, Vespertilionidae.